UGGGCAACCUGCCCCAGACACAGGGAUAACCCCGGGAAAACCGGGGCUAAUACCGGAUACUCCGGCCGAGCCGCAUGACUCGAUCGGGAAAGCUCCGACGGUCUGGGAUGGGCCCGCGGCCUAUCAGCUUGUUGGUGGGGUAACGGCCUACCAAGGCGACGACGGGUAGCUGGUCUGAGAGGACGACCAGCCACACUGGAACUGAGAUACGGUCCAGACUCCGUACGGNNG
RNAcentral lists this ribosomal RNA (231 nucleotides) under uncultured bacterium. RNAcentral describes it as "partial 16S ribosomal RNA". It matches the Rfam family "Bacterial small subunit ribosomal RNA", at positions 118 to 347 of the family's 1533-position model. The record is from RNAcentral.